GGGGCGGUAGCUCAGCUGGUUAGAGCUAGCGACUCAUAAUCGCUCGGUCCCGGGUUCGAGCCCCGGCCGCCCCA
RNAcentral lists this transfer RNA (74 nucleotides) under Propionibacteriaceae bacterium. RNAcentral describes it as "tRNA-Ile". It matches the Rfam family "tRNA". From Rfam's summary of the family: Transfer RNA (tRNA) molecules are approximately 80 nucleotides in length. Lineage: Bacteria; Bacillati; Actinomycetota; Actinomycetes; Propionibacteriales; Propionibacteriaceae. The record is from RNAcentral.